RNAcentral lists this ribosomal RNA (522 nucleotides) under Triticum aestivum (bread wheat). RNAcentral's name for it is "partial small subunit ribosomal RNA". The record is from RNAcentral. Lineage: Eukaryota; Viridiplantae; Streptophyta; Magnoliopsida; Poales; Poaceae.
AUGAACAUGUGGUGGAAAGAAUGUUUCCAUGUCCAUAUGCCUCCUUUUCUUAUUAUUCGUACUAAGGUGAGGUGCCUUAUAUCUCAUCAGUUGUCGAUAUGGAGUUCCCCAUGGUGUCCUAUUUGGAGCUCUAUUUAUGAUCAUCUCAUAAUUCAGCAUCAGCCUUACAUUUAUCCUUCCAAUCUUAAAGAUCUAUGGAAACCUAACAAUAAAGCUUGGAAUGAAAAUCUUAUUUACUCUCUGUUUGAUGCCGAGGCAGCAAGCAUUAUUCUCCAAACCCCCAUAAUUCAAACGGAGGGUAAAGAUAUCAUGUGUUGGAAACACACCCAACAGGUUUGGAAAGACAAUAGCAUUGCUCCGAGAAUUCAGACGUUUGCUUGGAGGCUUCUUGAGAGAGCAGUUCCAACAGGCAUGCGGGCUGGUAUGUAUGCCAGACACAUCUCCAAAUAUUGCUCCAUGUGUGAGGCGGAGGAAGAUGACAUUUAUUUGUUUUUCUCAUGCCCAUUUGCUAAAGCUGCUUAG